AUGCAGGUGCGAGUGCUCUGGGGCUGCGCACUGCACCGGCUGCGGCGGGGACGGAGACCAGAGGGAGGAGGGAGGAGCGCUCGGGGCGCUCAGGGCCGCAGCGCAGCGCUUUGCUCCGUGCUCCUCGCUGCCACGGCGGGAAGUGCCCUCUGCCCUCCACAGAUAAAUUAUGAAGGACAGAAAACACUAAGAGAUUGUUAUGAAGACUUUUUCAGAGGCACCUGGGUGGCUCCAUCUGCUAAGCAUUUGCCUUUGGCUCAGGUAAUUUGCCGAGGUCUUGUAGUUAACAAAAUUCACAAUUUGAGCUCAAGCCAGUGCUGCGUUAGCCACUGCAUCUUAAAAAAAAAAAGAAAGAAAAAAUUAAGACAAGUAUUAGAUAACCAGGAGAGCAGAUUUGUUUUGUUUUAGUUGGUUUAAAUGUUUGCUAUUCUCAAGGCUAAAUAGUUCAACUUCACCUUUCCUAAGGCUUAAAAAUUGCUAACUGCUCAGAAGUCUCCAGUGUUUUAUUUCACUGGUGAGAAGUUUCUUUUGUGGAAUGAAUAAGCUAUACUUAAAUUCAAUAAAAUCUACAUUUAUCUAUCUCUCUGAUUUUCCACAUCAAUGGAUUUAUGCUUCCAAAAUCAGGUCAGUGGGAUGAACACUCUACUCAGAGCUUCCCAGAAGGGAACUGGGCAUUUUAGCUCUCAUUUGCUGAAAUAAGGAUCACAGUUUUCUGCUUGAUGCAGUUUGGGUACUUUAUCAUAUUUUAAUUAUGGAAAUAUUUUGCCUCCAGCAUUAGCAGGAGCUAUCCAGAACUUUAUUCUCUUUAAAGUUAAAAAAAAAAAACAGUAAAAUAUUGUUCUAAUGCUUUCCAGAUCCAGUCCAAAGUAUUGACAUAAGCAAAUAAGAAGGGUGAAUGAAUAGAGCAUCAAAAAAUAUAUACUAGUGGCCAAGGCCAAGAAGCAGCCUCAUAUUUACAGAACUAUCUAUCAUUUUACAUCUAAGACUUUCUUGAUAAGCAUCAGUUGCUUACAAAAUGAAGUACAAAAGAAAGGGUCUUUCUACCUGAAUAUAUCAAUUCUCCUUAAUUCAAUCCCUAACAGUCCCAUAUUUGUUUUUUUCAGACAAUUUAAAGAGCAAUGGUGUUCUAAAACCUAAAAAAUAAUCCAAUUUGAUGUUUUUGCAAGUGUCUUCCCCAGCUAAUUAUUCAUUUUGAGCUGAAUGACAGAUUUCUAUGCCCAAACUUUAAUGCAAUCACCAAUCUUAAAAGAAUAGAGCAUCCCUAAAAUAAAAACAUUGGUGACUAAGUCCCAUUGUGAGCUACCAUAUUUACUACAUCUUGCAGAUCUGAUGGACAUUAUCUAAUCUGCCUCUGCAAUCCAGACCUGGUGCUGCCUCCUGAGAUGAUGGGGCCAAAGAAAUGGGUGGUAGAGUGCUGCUGUCCCCACUCUGGCCUCGGAGAAAGUAUGACAUCACAACUGUCACCUCUAUUUUGUUGCAAUUACUACUUCUGAUGGAAUGACUGAUGCUUGCCUUCAGCCCAGGGCAUGAUCCUGGAGUCCUGGGAUCAAGUCCCACAUCAGGCUCCCUGCAUGGAGCCUGCUUCUCCCUCUGCCUGUCUCUGCCUCUCUCUCUCUCUAUGUGUGUGUGUCUCUCAUGACUAAAUAAAUAAAAAAUCUUAAAAAAAAAAAAAAGAAUGGCGCUGAGGGGAGAAGAAUGAAGAUGUCUGAAUGUGACGUUAAAACCCACUUCUUCAAUCCAGAGCAUUUUGUCCAAUGUUAACAUUGUAAACCUGAUCCAGUCUCUAAUGCAUUGGCCAUUUCUAGCUGGCUUGAGCGUCCUCCUGGUUAUAGAAUCCUGCUUUUCUUUUGGGACCGUCCCUUCUCCCUUCCAAUCUGGCAGUUCACAUAGGGUGAUGCUGCCCCAAAGCUCGGGAGUGGGCUAGUGACUCCCCUGAGUGGGCUGAUUGGUCACCCCUUCCAGUCUGGGUCUAACCCCCACCCCUGUUCUGUUAGGUACAUUCCUGUGGGCAAGUGACCUAAGUAAGCCCAGCCAAGUCAGAAAAAUUUCCUGGAAUCUUUUUUAUCAGGAAAUGGUUGGAAAAACAAGUCCUUGUUUCCUGUGGGGUUGUACCUACUAGAACAGA
Molecule: long non-coding RNA, 2125 nt
Filed under: Canis lupus familiaris (dog)
Lineage: Eukaryota; Metazoa; Chordata; Mammalia; Carnivora; Canidae
Description: lncRNA (ENSCAFG00030020696.1)
Source: RNAcentral